AAUGCAGUUGCCCGUCUCCACAUCCCAGACUCGGAUGGAGGUGUCCAGAGAUCCACUCACCACAUGGAUGCCGUCGAACUACGAGAAAGUCCUGCCAGAGUGUGGUGAGAACAGGCACAAGCAUGAAAUUAAUUCCUUUCGCCUUUCAAUGCCUGGAAGUGACGCUUUGACUUUAUGAAUGAACAAGAUGAUCUUUUGGGUGAGUAAAGUGUAGUUUGAAUGCUUUGCCUGGUUUGUAUUUCACUCAAUGUCGGAUGAGAUACCCAAGUUUAACAAGCAUCUUGUGUGAACACAAGUGCAAACGACAAGGCAAAUACAAGUGUAAAUGUGGCUGUACUUUGGACAAAUCCUUACCUUUUCUCAUGGAGAUGCAUGCAGCGAACAGUGGAGGUGUGUCCAUACAAGGUGUGUAUGCAUUCUCCAGUCUCAGCAUUCCAGACUUUCAGUGUUCGGUCUGUAGAGCCACUGAUGAUGAUAUUGUCCCUCAUCUGUGAUGACCAGACUCCACCUGUGUGCCCAACCAGUGUCCUCAAACACUGAAAUGAAAUAUUUUGCUUAGUUACCCUUUUGACAGAGUUGAAUGGAAACUUAAGAAAAAGGAAUUUAGGAAGUAACAGGAGCCUCACAGCAAGAGCCAGAAGACCCAUGGAGGCUACUGUGUGAUUGAACAAGAAAUUCCCAUUGUUUAUAUAUAUUCAUCGAAUUCCUCUCUCCAUCACUGAUACUUCAACUACAAAGAAUUUUCCCUAUAAUCUUCCCCCUAAUAACCUAAACUGUCUUUUCAGAUUUCUCAAUACAGGGAGUGUUUUUCAGCCUUGAGUCAUUUUCUCCAGGCAUUUUUCUGAGUCACCGCAGGUUUUCUGAUAGAAGUCUGAAGCACAAGUGUUAGAGCUGCAGAGAGCAUUCACUCAGUAGUUUUACCACCAAUGUAUAAACCAUAAACUCCUUUUGUAUUGUUUGUUUAUCCAAGAAACACUGCAUUCUGUAAGCCAGAGCUAUGGCACCAAUACUGCAAAA
Long non-coding RNA from Pogoniulus pusillus (Red-fronted tinkerbird), 1017 nucleotides. RefSeq lists it as uncharacterized. The record is from RefSeq and is a predicted model, not a curated record. The transcript has 3 exons. NCBI's taxonomy places the organism in Eukaryota, Metazoa, Chordata, Aves, Piciformes, Lybiidae.